RNAcentral lists this ribosomal RNA (406 nucleotides) under uncultured bacterium. RNAcentral's name for it is "bacterial SSU rRNA". It matches the Rfam family "Bacterial small subunit ribosomal RNA", at positions 355 to 772 of the family's 1533-position model. The record is from RNAcentral.
UGGGGAAUAUUGCACAAUGGGCGAAAGCCUGAUGCAGCGACGCCGCGUGAGGGAUGACGGCCUUCGGGUUGUAAACCUCUUUCAGCAGGGACGAAGCGCAAGUGACGGUACCUGCAGAAGAAGCACCGGCCAACUACGUGCCAGCAGCCGCGGUAAUACGUAGGGUGCAAGCGUUGUCCGGAUUUAUUGGGCGUAAAGAGCUCGUAGGCGGUUUGGCAAGUUGGGUGUGAAAACUCCAGGCUCAACCUGGAGAUGCCACCCAAGACUGCUAUGACUUGAGUCUGGUAGGGGAGCGCGGAAUUCCUGGUGUAGCGGUGAAAUGCGCAGAUAUCAGGAGGAACACCGGUGGCGAAGGCGGUGCUCUGGGCCAGUACUGACGCUGAGGAGCGAAAGCGUGGGGAGCAAA